UUGCUAGAAAAGGAGCAUUGAACCUGAUAGUAAAGUCAUUUGAGAUGCACCAGGCCAGAGUAAAACGAUCCUCAAUGCCAGAUAUUGAGAGUUCUUUGCACACGGUAUUCACCAAUACAGACGAAAACCUUGAUGGACACAUUACAGUAGACGAGAUGGUAGACUCUGUCGUUGGUAGCACAGGCCUAACGAUUGAUCAGAACAUGAGACGGGGGUUCAAUGCUGUAUUUGGUAAUCCAAAAUACGACUUGAAUGAAAAAUGGAACCCUCGAGGAAAAUGAAUAUGGUGAACUGAUUAAAUCAGGAAUGGGAAUGUGGAAAAGAAAAACUGAGAACUUGCAUUGAGGGGAACAGGACAGGAAUUUGACAAUAUAUUUUGGUUUAAACGGUGUUUCUGUUAAUGUUAGUAAUACAGAAUAAUAACAUGUUAAGUAAUAUUGUUUGUCAUUGUCGUCAUAUUUAGAAAAUAAAUGUUCCUAAAAUGUUAUCUGAAUUAACAAAGUAACAAAAUCAAAUUCGAAUAUAUUAAAUUUAGUGUUUUUUUUAAUUUAUAUUUACACUUCAUUUUGAAAGCUCCUUUGGGUGUCUUCUACUGAAACUGUACAACCUUUAUCUGAUGUCUAAUUACGGAAUUUGUCAACACAUAAAUCAAAUGAAAUUCGGACCAUUUCUUACAGAUUAAAACAAACAAAUGUUAUAGGUUUGAUAUCUAUUAUUCCAGCACCAUGAGGCUACUGAUUGUUUGAAUCAGUAUGUUUUAAACAAAGGCUGUAAAUACCAAGUAACUUGAAUUUAA
Molecule: long non-coding RNA, 796 nt
Organism: Mytilus californianus (California mussel)
Lineage: Eukaryota; Metazoa; Mollusca; Bivalvia; Mytilida; Mytilidae
Exons: 3
Source: RefSeq, a predicted model, not a curated record